This is a long non-coding RNA of Panicum hallii, 232 nucleotides long. RefSeq lists it as uncharacterized. The record is from RefSeq and is a predicted model, not a curated record. The transcript is spliced from 3 exons. NCBI's taxonomy places the organism in Eukaryota, Viridiplantae, Streptophyta, Magnoliopsida, Poales, Poaceae.
GGAGAGGAGAGGAAGAGAGGAGACGAAGCGGCGAAGCCCUGUCCACACGUCGGUUUGGAGAUAUGGCGCAGACACCAAAGCUUCUUGACGCGCACAUCGAUGAACGGCACAGGUCGUACCUGGCUGCGGUGGAGGGGCAGGAGCUUCACGAGUUGCGCCCUCGUGUAGCAAAGGAGUUGUUGCACCUGGACGACCGCUGGCUUGACAGGUUACGUGAGGCUGGUUUGCUGCC